This 200-nucleotide ribosomal RNA is filed under the name uncultured Glomus. RNAcentral's name for it is "partial small subunit ribosomal RNA". It matches the Rfam family "Eukaryotic small subunit ribosomal RNA", at positions 591 to 797 of the family's 1831-position model. The record is from RNAcentral. Lineage: Eukaryota; Fungi; Glomeromycota; Glomeromycetes; Glomerales; Glomeraceae.
CCAAUAGCGUAUAUUAAAGUUGUUGCAGUUAAAAAGCUCGUAGUUGAAUUUCGAGACCGGUCUACUGGUCGUGCUUUUGUACGUACUGGUUUUAUUGGUUUCUCCUUUCUGACGAACUAUAAUGCCAUUAAUUUGGUGUUAUAGGGAAUCAGGACUGUUACUUUGAAAAAAUUAGAGUGUUUAAAGCAGGCUCACGCUUG